Molecule: small nucleolar RNA, 138 nt
Organism: Ornithorhynchus anatinus (platypus)
Lineage: Eukaryota; Metazoa; Chordata; Mammalia; Monotremata; Ornithorhynchidae
Source: RefSeq, a predicted model, not a curated record
UCCCUCUCAGGACCGCACCCGGAGACUUUCCGGUACUCUACCGGUCUCGGCUACGAGAGGGAGAGUCAAGCGGAGGCAUACCCAUUCCAUUCCCGGCUGAGGCAGUGGCUAGCGAGUGGAAGGCAAUCUGCUACAAGU